Long non-coding RNA from Papaver somniferum (opium poppy), 885 nucleotides. RefSeq lists it as uncharacterized. NCBI's taxonomy places the organism in Eukaryota, Viridiplantae, Streptophyta, Magnoliopsida, Ranunculales, Papaveraceae. The record is from RefSeq and is a predicted model, not a curated record. The transcript has 3 exons.
CAUGUAGUCAUAGAUUCAAACACCAUUUCCCGAUUUGAAUUGGGGACUCAAAUCGAUAUAAUUUAGUGGUUUAUUUAUGGUUGCAAUUUGUAGUUGAAAAAAAAUUAAGCAAAGGCUUCAUUCAAGCUUCAUUUGCGCUACUCAAGACGCUAAAGUUGAAGCAAGAGUCGAUGGUAAUGGAGGGACAGCUCCGGCGCAGUCCUAGAAUUAUGGAACAAGCUCGACAAGAGUCAAUGGUAAUAGAGGGUCAGGUUCGUCGUACUCCUAGAAUCAUACAACAAGCCCGCCUUCAUACGGAAGUUGAGAAUGAACGACAACAACAAAGAAAUAUUCGAUUACAAUCGUCGUAUUUCACAAAUGGCUAAACGAGUGGCAUUGAGUGAAGCGAAAAGAGAAGAGAUUCUUAAAAAACGACGUGAUGUUUAUCAUUUGCGGACAAUACGAGAUAGACAUGCAAACAAAGAUGUGUAGGAAGCAUCAACAAGUUCUGGUAUUGGAACUGACAGUGAAAGAAGCAAAAAACGUCAGUUUGAAGUGCAUGUAUUACUGGACCAUCAUGCCGAAGGCAGGGAGAAAAGAGUAAGAUUUGGAAGCAACAAUGGCCAAGCAGGCAAUCAGGCCAUCCAUUUACCAUUGCGCAGAAGUCCAAGACUUAGUCCACAUCCUCAACACAGAGAACCAGCACAUACGCAUAAUGCAAUCGGUAUAGUCUCUUUCAAAAUACAGGCUUUAUAUUGGAGUGUCGAUAAGUUAAUGCCACGUGCUGUCCUUCCCUCCAACCAGUUACUUUGUAUGAACUAUGAACUGAACUAAACCAGAUCAACCUUUUGUUGUUCUACACAUCCCCACCUCUGUAUGUAAUUUGCGCACAUUUCUAACACAAGG